UUAUACAGCAUAUUACUGUAUUUUAAAGUUACAUUUUGGGCAAUACCCUCUUGGCGACACUAAAUUACAGUAUUUUUAAUUUACUGUAAAUCUAAAUACAGUAAAGAAAAAAUGAGCGCGAAACCUGACCAAUCACAGAUCAAGUUUUAUUUCCUGCUUGGAGAAAGAAGAAAACAAGACACACAGAUGCGAAAAGAACCAGUCAGAUGCAAAGGAGCUGGUGAGUGUUCAUGUGAACUGUUAGCCGAACAACAAAGCUUUCGUGGAUUAUCUUAAAGUUGAAUGUUAACCCUGACAACAGCAAGUGCUCCUCAAAGUUCCACGUCAUCAAAAGAAGUGGGAAGAUGGUGCAAAGGAAGAACUCUGGUCUGAACCCUCAUGUAUCCUCCUUCAUUAAAGGGAUAGUUCACCCAAAAAUUAGUUCACCCAUUAAUAACUCACCCUCAUGUCGUUCCAAACCUGUGAGACCUCCAUUUAUCUCCUCAGUCCCUCCAUUGAAGCUGUGUGUAUGGUAUACUGUCCAUGUCCAGAAAGGUAAGAAAAACAUCAUCAAAGUAGUCCAUGUGACAUCAGAGGGUCAGCUAGAAUUUUUUGAAGCAUCGAAAUUACAUUUUGGUCCAAAAACUACGACUUUAUUCAGCAUUGUCAUCUCUUUCGUGUCUGUGUGAGAGAGUUCAAAACAAAGCAGUUUGUGAUAUCUGGUUCGCGAACGAAUCACUCGAUGUAACCGGAUCUUUUUGAACAAGUUCACUAAAUUGAACUGAAUAGUUUUAAACGGUUCGCAUCUCUAAUAUGCAUUAAUCCACAAAUUACUUAAGCUGUUAACUUUUUUUAAUGUGGCUGACACUUCUGAGUUCAAACAAACCAAUAUCCCGGAGUAAUUCAUGCACUCAAAAAGUACACUGACUGAACUGUUGUGAAGAGAGAACUGAAGAUGAACACCGAGCUGAGCCAGAUAAUGAACAAAAGACUGACUCGUUCUCGAGUCAGCCAUAUUAAAAAAGUUAACAGCUUAAGUAAUUUGUGAAUUAAUUCGUAUUGGAGAAGCGAACAGUAUAAAACGAUUCGGUUUGAUUUGGUGAACUGGUUCGAAAAGUGAACCGGAUAUCAGCUGCUUUGAUUUGAACUCUCUCACACCAGACACGGAAGAGAAGACAAUGCUGAAUAAAGUCGUAGUUUUUGCUAUUUUUGGACCAAAAUGUAUUUACGACGCUUCAAAAAAUUCCAACCGACCCUCUGAUGUCACAUGGACUACUUUGAUGGUGUUUUUCUUACCUUUCUGGACGUGGACAGGAUACCAUACACACAACUUCAAUGGAGGGACUGAGAGCUCUCGGACUAAAUCUAAGAUAUCUUAAACUGUGUUCUGAAGAUAAACUGAGGUCUCACAGAUUUAGAAAGACAUGAGGGUGAGUUAUUAAUGACCUAAUUCUGAUUUUUGGGUGAACUAUCCCUUUAAGGAGUUUCUGGAUUUCAGCUGGCAAAACUAGUUUUCUGAAUUUGUAAAUUUUUAAGAUUGUUCUUAUGACUGAAUCUGUUCAUGUCUGUUGAUUUAAAAUGCUCUUAAUAUGAAACUUUUAUGUAUAAAUGAAAUGUAUUCAAGUUUUUGGAAAACUGAAAGUACUAUCUGCAAGAAUAUUAAAAUGUUAUUUUCAAGUAUUACCAUUUAACUAUUAAACCAAUAAAAGAAGUUAAACAGUC
Molecule: long non-coding RNA, 1701 nt
Organism: Carassius gibelio (silver crucian carp)
Lineage: Eukaryota; Metazoa; Chordata; Actinopteri; Cypriniformes; Cyprinidae
Exons: 3
Source: RefSeq, a predicted model, not a curated record